AGAGGUGAGAGUCGUGGGCCAGCGGCAACGCGGAACAGCAGCAGCCAUGCGGAGAGGUAUUUGCUCUCACAGAUGAGGGUAAGUCCCCCGACUACAUCCCUGGUGUGUCUGACUCUAUGUGGACAGCCUGCCCUGACAUGUAAAGCUAAAGUACCUUGAAGACUCAGAAGAGGAGUAGGAUCAUCUGCUUAGAGGGAUUGCAAAAGAUGACACAGAUAAUAGAACAUGUGAAUUAGGCCGCU
RNAcentral lists this long non-coding RNA (242 nucleotides) under Fukomys damarensis (Damara mole-rat). Its description in RNAcentral is "lncRNA (ENSFDAG00000024022.1)". Lineage: Eukaryota; Metazoa; Chordata; Mammalia; Rodentia; Bathyergidae. The record is from RNAcentral.